This 29-nucleotide small RNA is filed under the name Bombyx mori (domestic silkworm). Its description in RNAcentral is "ovarian small RNA-3099". The record is from RNAcentral. Lineage: Eukaryota; Metazoa; Arthropoda; Insecta; Lepidoptera; Bombycidae.
UAGUCUAUCAAAAGGUUCACUACAUGGUC